UCCGGCUUAGCACCGGCAGUCCCACUAGAGUGCCAAACUUAAUUGGGGCAACUAGUAGCAAGGGUUGCGCUCGUUGCGUCACUUAAGACAACAUCUCACGACACGAGCUGACGACAGCCAUGCAGCACCUGUGUUCAGGUUCCCGAAGGCACAACCUAAUCUCUUAGGUCUUCCUGACAUGUCAAGAGCAGGUAAGGUUCUUCGCGUUGCAUCGAAUUAAUCCACAUCAUCCACCGCUUGUGCGGGUCCCCGUCAAUUCCUUUGAGUUUUAAUCUUGCGACCGUACUCCCCAGGCGGUUUACUUCUCGCGUUAGCUUCGCUACUAAGAUUGCUCCCAACAGCAAGUAAACAUCGUUUAGGGCGUGGACUAC
Molecule: unclassified non-coding RNA, 371 nt
Filed under: uncultured Gammaproteobacteria bacterium
Lineage: Bacteria; Pseudomonadati; Pseudomonadota; Gammaproteobacteria
Description: contains 16S-23S intergenic spacer region
Source: RNAcentral